AUGAGACUGGCUUUGGGUAUUGAAUUUCUAUCUCAUGCUGUACUUUGCAUCCAAGCAAGGAAUGCUUGCCCAUGCUGUACUCAGAGAAGGCUGGGAUGCUCUAUGCUGCUGGCUGCAGUGCUGCAGGGUUCGGCUACAGGUUUGACUCCUUGCCUGCAAGGGAUGCUGAGGGGAGGUCUGCUAUCAUUUCUCCCUAUUGAGAGGCUCUUGCUGCUACAGAAUUAAGGAUACGUGUAUGGUGCUACAGUUAUUCCAGGUGUGAGGGUUUGCACAUGCAAAAAAGGCAAAGAAGAGCCUAAACUGAUCCUACAAUUUCAAUUUUAUAGGUUUAGUUAUUUGCUGCAUUGCAUGAAGUCUAAUAUUGGUAGCAACCCCACUCAGCUCUUUUUGAGUAUACUGAUGACAAGCAGCCCCUAGCAGAAACUAAAAGCUGGAGCACCGGGAGGCAGUAGUGCAAUUACUGGUCACUUAAUUAACACCAAGUCCUGCAAAGUUGCUUGUUAAUGUGAGAUGGCCUUCUGAAACGUGCCUACUUGGACUAGAGAAACUUCUUAAGUAGGAAGUUCGAAGCAAUCGUUUAAGGUUUAUUCCUGCAAAAGAGUAAUUGUAGUGUUUUUGUGGUGGUGGUGGUUGUUGAUAUUCCACGUCAUAACAGCAUGUAAUGUGCUGGUAGUUAAAGAGUUAAUGUUCUGGUUCUGCAGGUGGUCCUGCUGUCCCUCUAUCAGGGACACAGAUCUAGAGAUAACUCCGUGACAGUCAUGUUUAAUCACUGCUUGCCCUGCUUUGUUAGCUUGACACCGUGUCUUACAUUUUCUCCUCCUCUGCUUUGUUUCCUUGGUGUGCAUCAAUAUCCCCCCCACCAACCAUGUGCACAAAUGACUGUGUGCAGCUGUGAGCUUACCUUCUGGCUGUGAUUCACUGAGCUGCCACACAACUUGUGCUAUUUAUCUGAGGCAGGGUUUGUCAGCAUUCAUCAGAAAUUCACCUCGUUGUCUCAAAGAAUGCAGCACCUCACCCAAGAUGGCCUGGUGCAAACCUGAAGGAUAAGUGCAGUAGUUGAUACAAUAUUUUGCAGGUUGCUAAUGUUUUCCAGCUGUCAGGGUUUUGUGUACGACUAUGUUUUAGUACAGGCAGUAUUUGGAGGAAAAAAACAUCCCACCCUGUUGACCCAUAACCAAUACAAGUUCCCUCCUAAGUCCCACUGGUUCUGGAACUUUUGUAGUGAACUGUUGUAAGUAACCAAGUGUCAGGUAGCUUAGAUCUGCAUCUUUCAUGUUUAUCCUAAGCAUGAAUAAACUCAUUUUUUCUAAUUCUAUUUUCCA
Molecule: long non-coding RNA, 1322 nt
Filed under: Phasianus colchicus (ring-necked pheasant)
Lineage: Eukaryota; Metazoa; Chordata; Aves; Galliformes; Phasianidae
Description: lncRNA (ENSPCLG00000013036.1)
Source: RNAcentral